GAACUGGCUACCGGCGUAGGUCUGGCCGAAGCUCCAACCGGAGGGAGCCACGUUGUUGGACGUGAUGGUACGGCCGUCGCUGGUGGUGACCCGGAAGGACAGCGGCUGGCCGUUGAGCAUGGCGCCGUUCUGCCAGUUGGCGCCCCAGUUGUGGCUCAUGGUCAGCCAUCCUGUGCUAGGAGAUUUCACGUACACCGCCGUCAGGUCGCCGGCGCCGGCAACGUUGGUGAUGAGCACCAGAUUGAAGUAGGAGUGGCCGGUGAUGGUGAACCGGAUGCCACCCAGCUACAGUCACCGAUGCGAUGGGUACCUUCUGUACUGGACGGGCACGACGCCGGCACGGGCCUGGGCGAUCUUAGUGAACAUAGGCUCAGCGAGGUCGAAAUGCGACUGCGGCGGGUUGCACCACCCGCCCUCGUUGUUGGGGAGUGCGUAGUUGGCCGGGCAGAGGUUGGUGGCCGUCACGACGGCGGAGCCCGGCAGGCAGCUCCCGCUGCCGGCGCACCGGAUCUCAAAGCACGCGCCGCAGCUCUGCCCGUUGUUGAACAGCGCAGUGCUCAGCGCCGCCGU
RNAcentral lists this ribosomal RNA (570 nucleotides) under Triticum aestivum (bread wheat). Its description in RNAcentral is "partial small subunit ribosomal RNA". The record is from RNAcentral. Lineage: Eukaryota; Viridiplantae; Streptophyta; Magnoliopsida; Poales; Poaceae.